RNAcentral lists this ribosomal RNA (250 nucleotides) under uncultured bacterium. RNAcentral describes it as "partial 16S ribosomal RNA". It matches the Rfam family "Bacterial small subunit ribosomal RNA", at positions 524 to 773 of the family's 1533-position model. The record is from RNAcentral.
GACGAACCGGACAAACGUUAUUCGGAAUCAUUGGGCUUAAAGGGUGCGUAGGCGGUGCUAAAAGUUGGGUGUGAAAUACCUCGGCUCAACCGAGGAAUUGCGCCCAAAACUAUAGUGCUAGAGGGAGACAGGGGUAAGCGGAACUGAUGGUGGAGCGGUGAAAUGCGUUGAUAUCAUCAGGAACACCAGUGGCGAAGGCGGCUUACUGGGUCUCUUCUGACGCUGAGGCACGAAAGUAAGGGUAGCGAAC